GAUAAAAAGAUGUGUGAUGUAGACAUGAGUAGCAAGGACUUAAGAGAGAAAUUCAUUCUGAAACUGCUUUGAAUAUUUUAUGUUGUUGAUGGGUUGGAAAUACAUCACCUUGGGAAUGAGGUUUUUUUUUUUUAUUGGAGUUUUAGGAGUUGGUAAUAUGGUCAUUAUAUAUAGGCUUCACAAGUUAUGUAACUUAUAGUGGGGACAUGGAAUAGACAUUUCAUCUGUGUCACCCAGAGGUGGUUUUAGGUUUUAAAUUCUGUAUUAACGGUUGUUUUCUUUCCAGACUGCAAAAUUCAAAAUGGGGCUCAAGGUAUUCGUUUCAUCUACACCAGAGAAGGCAGACCAAGUGGCGAGGCUUUUGUUGAACUUGAAUCAGAAGAUGAAGUCAAAUUGGCCCUGAAAAAAGACAGAGAAACUAUGGGACACAGAUAUGUUGAAGUAUUCAAGUCAAACAACGUUGAAAUGGAUUGGGUGUUGAAGCAUACUGGUCCAAAUAGUCCUGACACGGCCAAUGAUGGCUUUGUACGGCUUAGAGGACUUCCCUUUGGAUGUAGCAAGGAAGAAAUUGUUCAGUUCUUCUCAGGUAUGUAGUCAUGUUUGUUGCUGAGCAGUGAGUUUUGGUUAGCUUAUGGCAAGGUGAUUUAAUAGACCUUAAAGUUGAGUAGCUUAGGUAUUUUAAUAGGUUGUAAAUUGCCAAUGAAUUAAUGUUUUCUUUCUAGAGACCUUCAAAUAAUUUAAGCCC
Molecule: small RNA, 745 nt
Filed under: Pongo abelii (Sumatran orangutan)
Lineage: Eukaryota; Metazoa; Chordata; Mammalia; Primates; Hominidae
Description: retained intron
Source: RNAcentral